This 1085-nucleotide ribosomal RNA is filed under the name uncultured Pseudomonadota bacterium. RNAcentral's name for it is "bacterial SSU rRNA". It matches the Rfam family "Bacterial small subunit ribosomal RNA", at positions 9 to 1107 of the family's 1533-position model. Lineage: Bacteria; Pseudomonadati; Pseudomonadota. The record is from RNAcentral.
GAGUUUGAUUAUGGCUCAGAUUGAACGCUGGCGGCAUGCCUAACACAUGCAAGUCGAACGAGGUAGCAAUACCUAGUGGCGGACGGGUGAGGAAUACGUAGGGAUCUGCCCUUAAGUGGGGGAUAACCCGGGGAAACCCGGAUUAAUACCGCAUGAUCUCGAGAGAGCAAAGCAGGGGACCGCAAGGCCUUGCGCUUUUGGAGGAACCUACGUCGGAUUAGCUAGUUGGUGAGGUAACGGCUCACCAAGGCGACGAUCCGUAACUGGUCUGAGAGGAUGAUCAGUCACACCGGAACUGAGACACGGUCCGGACUCCUACGGGAGGCAGCAGUGGGGAAUAUUGGACAAUGGGCGAAAGCCUGAUCCAGCAAUGCCGCGUGUGUGAAGAAGGCCUUCGGGUUGUAAAGCACUUUAAGUUGGGAAGAAAAAGCUCUGGCUAACAUCUAGAGCCUUGACGGUACCAACAGAAUAAGCACCGGCUAACUCUGUGCCAGCAGCCGCGGUAAUACAGAGGGUGCUAGCGUUAAUCGGAUUUACUGGGCGUAAAGCGUGCGUAGGCGGUUUGAUAAGUCGAUUGUGAAAGCCCCGGGCUUAACCUGGGAAUUGCAGUUGAUACUGUCAGACUCGAAAACGGUAGAGGGAGGCGGAACUCCAGGUGUAGCGGUGAAAUGCGUAGAUAUCUGGAAGAACACCGAUGGCGAAGGCAACCUCCUGGGCCUGUUUUGACGCUGAGGCACGAAAGCGUGGGUAGCAAACAGGAUUAGAUACCCUGGUAGUCCACGCCGUAAACGAUGAGAACUUGACGUUGGUUUGCUUAGCAAAUCGGUGUCGUAGCUAACGCGAUAAGUUCUCCGCCUGGGGAGUACGGCCGCAAGGUUGAAACUCAAAGGAAUUGACGGGGCCCGCACAAGCGGUGGAGUAUGUGGUUUAAUUCGAUGCAACGCGAAGAACCCUUACCCUGGUCUUGACAUGUCAAGGAGUCUGCAGAGAUGCGAUGUGCCUUCGGAACUUGGACACAGUGCUGCAUGCUGUCGUCAGCUCGUGUCGUGAGAUGGUGACUAGUCCCGCACCGGGCCUAAUCUUGC